GCUUGCUCCUGGGUGACGAGCGGCGGACGGGUGAGUAAUGUCUGGGAAACUGCCUGAUGGAGGGGGAUAACUACUGGAAACGGUAGCUAAUACCGCAUAACGUCGCAAGACCAAAGAGGGGGACCUUCGGGCCUCUUGCCAUCAGAUGUGCCCAGAUGGGAUUAGCUAGUAGGUGGGGUAACGGCUCACCUAGGCGACGAUCCCUAGCUGGUCUGAGAGGAUGACCAGCCACACUGGAACUGAGACACGGUCCAGACUCCUACGGGAGGCAGCAGUGGGGAAUAUUGCACAAUGGGCGCAAGCCUGAUGCAGCCAUGCCGCGUGUAUGAAGAAGGCCUUCGGGUUGUAAAGUACUUUCAGCGGGGAGGAAGGCGCUGAGGUUAAUAACCUCAGCGAUUGACGUUACCCGCAGAAGAAGCACCGGCUAACUCCGUGCCAGCAGCCGCGGUAAUACGGAGGGUGCAAGCGUUAAUCGGAAUUACUGGGCGUAAAGCGCACGCAGGCGGUCUGUCAAGUCGGAUGUGAAAUCCCCGGGCUCAACCUGGGAACUGCAUUCGAAACUGGCAGGCUAGAGUCUUGUAGAGGGGGGUAGAAUUCCAGGUGUAGCGGUGAAAUGCGUAGAGAUCUGGAGGAAUACCGGUGGCGA
Molecule: ribosomal RNA, 646 nt
Filed under: Enterobacter sp.
Lineage: Bacteria; Pseudomonadati; Pseudomonadota; Gammaproteobacteria; Enterobacterales; Enterobacteriaceae
Description: bacterial SSU rRNA
Rfam family: Bacterial small subunit ribosomal RNA
Source: RNAcentral